This 162-nucleotide ribosomal RNA is filed under the name Gongylonema pulchrum. RNAcentral's name for it is "5.8S ribosomal RNA". It matches the Rfam family "5.8S ribosomal RNA". Rfam says of the family: 5.8S ribosomal RNA (5.8S rRNA) is a component of the large subunit of the eukaryotic ribosome. Lineage: Eukaryota; Metazoa; Nematoda; Chromadorea; Rhabditida; Gongylonematidae. The record is from Rfam by way of RNAcentral.
UACUCUUAGCGCUGGAUCACUUGGCUCGUGGAUCGAUGAAGAACGCAGCUAGCUGUGAUAAAUUUUUUUUUUGCGAAUUGCAGACACACGGAGCACCAGAAAUUUCGAACGCAUAAACUAGCUAGUGGUAAUGCUUCAAACCAGGAAUAUAUAGCAGUGACG